CGAGUUGGUCAGGCGAUCGCUGUCGCUUCGCGGCAGAGGAAAGUCCGGGCUCCAACGGGUCAGAGCGCCAGGUAACGCCUGGGGGGCGUGAGCCCACGGAAAGUGCAGCAGAAAGGAAACCGCCGGUUCGCCGGUAAGGGUGAAAAGGUGCGGUAAGAGCGCACCGCGUGGCUGGCAACAGGCACGGCGAUGGUAAACCCCACCUGG
Molecule: RNase P RNA, 207 nt
Filed under: Halieaceae bacterium
Lineage: Bacteria; Pseudomonadati; Pseudomonadota; Gammaproteobacteria; Cellvibrionales; Halieaceae
Description: partial RNase P RNA component class A
Rfam family: Bacterial RNase P class A
About the family: Ribonuclease P (RNase P) is a ubiquitous endoribonuclease, found in archaea, bacteria and eukarya as well as chloroplasts and mitochondria. Its best characterised activity is the generation of mature 5'-ends of tRNAs by cleaving the 5'-leader elements of precursor-tRNAs.
Source: RNAcentral